CCAGCACUUCCUUUUGAUGUGAAAACACAGUCUACUGGUACAGCCCAUCACUUCUCUUUCCUGUUGAACACAUCAGACUAUCGCAUCCUGCGCAUGGAUGAGGAUCACGACCGCAUGUAUGUGGGCAGCAAAGACUACAUCCUGUCUCUGGACCUCCAUGACAUCAACCGAGAACCCCUCAUAAUACACUGGCCUGUUUCUCCACAGAGGAAGAUGGAGUGUGUUCUGAGUGGCAAAGACACAAACGUGAGUGCCGUCUUUCAAUUUCUUUGCUUCCACUCCGCUCACAUAUGCUUUAAUCUGGAAGGCGAAGAAAAACUCAGAAUAGCACUCAGCCCUUCAAAUAAGUGUUCUAAUUUUUCCAAGAAUUAUUCCAGACAAUCUAAUAUUUGCUUUCAAUUUCCCUUUCAGGAAUAUGUCUUCCAUCUGGAGCCCGGCAAGGAGGAUUCUGGGAAGGGAAAGUGCCCAUAUGAUCCAAAACUGAACAGUGUCUCCACUUUGAUUAAUGGAGAACUGUAUGCAGGGGUGUAUAUUGAUUUCAUGGGAACAGACUCUGCUAUUUUCCGAACUUUGGGGAAAAAUGCAGUCAUGCGCACUGACCAAUACAACUCAAGAUGGCUAAAUGACCCCUCAUUUGUCCAUGUGCACCUUAUCCCUGACAGCAACGAAAAAAACGAUGACAAACUCUACUUUUUCUUCCGUGAGAAGUCUUCCGAGAUGGGCCAGAGCCCCAAAUUACAGUCACGCAUCGGUCGAAUCUGCCUGAACGAUGAUGGCGGUCACUGCUGCUUGGUCAACAAGUGGAGCACCUUCCUGAAAGCCCGUCUCAUCUGCUCAGUCCCAGGAGCUGAUGGGAUUGAAACACAUUUCGACGAGCUCAGGGAUGUGUACAUACAGCCUACGCAGGACACUAAAAAUCCCGUCAUCUAUGGGGUCUUCUCUGUGUCUGGCUCUGUAUUCAAAGGCUCAGCGGUCUGCGUCUACUCAAUGGCAGACAUUCGGAUGGUGUUCAAUGGACCUUUUGCUCACAAAGAAGGUCCCAAUUAUCAGUGGGUGGCCUACUCUGGAAAAAUCCCCUACCCUCGUCCAGGAACAUGUCCUGGUGGGACUUUCACCCCUAACAUGAAGUCCACGAAAGACUACCCUGACGAGGUCAUCAACUUCAUGCGGAACCAUCCCACCAUGUACAAUACUGUGUAUCCGGUGCACAAGCGCCCCCUGGUGGUCAGGACCAACGUAGACUAUGAGUUCACCACCAUCACUGUGGACCAGGUGACUGCAGCCGAUGGCAACUACGAAGUGCUCUUCCUGGGUACAGACAGAGGUACAGUACAGAAGGUUAUCGUCCUGCCCAGAGAUGACCUGCAGACAGAGGAACUACUGCUAGAGGAAGUGGAGGUCUUUAAGGUGAGAUCUGCACCGGGGUCUCCAGGUCAACAACUAUAUGUAGCGUCAGCGGUUGGUGUGACUCAUCUGGCCCUGCACAGGUGUGAUGUCUAUGGCGAGGCCUGCGCAGACUGCUGUUUGGCCCGGGACCCUUAUUGUGCAUGGGAUGGCAAGUCCUGUUCUCGGUACUCUGCCUCACAGAAGAGACGCAGUCGGCGACAGGAUGUGAAAUACGGGAAUCCCAUACGGCAGUGCAGAGGAUACAAUUCUAACACUAAUAAGAACACUCUGGAGACGGUGCAGUAUGGGGUGGAGGGCAGCAGCACGUUUUUGGAGUGCCAGGCCAGAUCACCCCACGCUGCCAUUAAAUGGCAUCUCCACCGAGACAACAGCGAUAGAAGGAGAGAGGUCCGUACCGAUGGGCGCGUGUUGAAGACAGAUCAAGGCCUACUACUGCCUUCCCUCCAGUCCUCAGACUCUGGCAUCUACGUUUGCACAACGGCAACUAUUCACCUUAAAACGAUGACUUUUUCCUCAACAGUUAAUGGUAUUGUUACUAUUCCUGCAAAGCGCCACAUGGCCCCGAAAACCAGUGUGAAGCAGCGUCUUACAUUGAGAGAAAAUGGUUGUACAAUUUCUUGGUAUUUUUAA
Molecule: long non-coding RNA, 2037 nt
Organism: Cyprinus carpio (common carp)
Lineage: Eukaryota; Metazoa; Chordata; Actinopteri; Cypriniformes; Cyprinidae
Source: Ensembl